RNAcentral lists this ribosomal RNA (640 nucleotides) under Lactiplantibacillus plantarum. Its description in RNAcentral is "bacterial SSU rRNA". It matches the Rfam family "Bacterial small subunit ribosomal RNA", at positions 61 to 670 of the family's 1533-position model. Lineage: Bacteria; Bacillati; Bacillota; Bacilli; Lactobacillales; Lactobacillaceae. The record is from RNAcentral.
GACGAACUCUGGUAUUGAUUGGUGCUUGCAUCAUGAUUUACAUUUGAGUGAGUGGCGAACUGGUGAGUAACACGUGGGAAACCUGCCCAGAAGCGGGGGAUAACACCUGGAAACAGAUGCUAAUACCGCAUAACAACUUGGACCGCAUGGUCCGAGUUUGAAAGAUGGCUUCGGCUAUCACUUUUGGAUGGUCCCGCGGCGUAUUAGCUAGAUGGUGGGGUAACGGCUCACCAUGGCAAUGAUACGUAGCCGACCUGAGAGGGUAAUCGGCCACAUUGGGACUGAGACACGGCCCAAACUCCUACGGGAGGCAGCAGUAGGGAAUCUUCCACAAUGGACGAAAGUCUGAUGGAGCAACGCCGCGUGAGUGAAGAAGGGUUUCGGCUCGUAAAACUCUGUUGUUAAAGAAGAACAUAUCUGAGAGUAACUGUUCAGGUAUUGACGGUAUUUAACCAGAAAGCCACGGCUAACUACGUGCCAGCAGCCGCGGUAAUACGUAGGUGGCAAGCGUUGUCCGGAUUUAUUGGGCGUAAAGCGAGCGCAGGCGGUUUUUUAAGUCUGAUGUGAAAGCCUUCGGCUCAACCGAAGAAGUGCAUCGGAAACUGGGAAACUUGAGUGCAGAAGAGGACAGUGGAACUCC